RNAcentral lists this ribosomal RNA (468 nucleotides) under uncultured bacterium. RNAcentral describes it as "partial 16S ribosomal RNA". It matches the Rfam family "Bacterial small subunit ribosomal RNA", at positions 28 to 507 of the family's 1533-position model. The record is from RNAcentral.
GACGAACGCUGGCGGCGUGCUUAACACAUGCAAGUCGAACGGAAAGGCCCUGCUUUUGUGGGGUGCUCGAGUGGCGAACGGGUGAGUAACACGUGAGUAACCUGCCCUUGACUGUGUGAUAACUUCAGGAAACUGGGGCUAAUACCGGAUAGGAGCUCCUGCUGCAUGGGGGGGGUUGGAAAGUUUCGGCGGUUGGGGAUGGACUCGCGGCUUAUCAGCUUGUUGGUGGGGUAGUGGCUUACCAAGGCUUUGACGGGUAGCCGGCCUGAGAGGGUGACCGGCCACAUUGGGACUACGAUACGGCGCAGACUCCUACGGGAGGCAGCAGUGGAGAAUAUUGCACAAUGGGCGGAAGCCUGAUGCAGCAACGCCGCGUGCGGGAUGACGGCCUUCGGGUUGUAAACCGCUUUAGCCUGUGACGAAGCGUGAGUGACGGUAAUGGGUAAAGAAGCACCGGCUAACUACGUG